GAUGAACGCUAGCGGCAGGCUUAACACAUGCAAGUCGAGGGGCAGCGCGAGUAGCAAUACUUGGCGGCGACCGGCGCAAGGGUGCGUAACGCGUGAGCAACAUGCCCGUAUCAGGGGGAUAAUCCAGGGAAACUUGGUCUAAUACCCCAUAGUAAUUUCGUAAGGCAUCUUAUGGGAUUUAAAGCUUUGGUGGAUACGGAUUGGCUCGCGUGACAUUAGCUGGAUGGUAAGGUAACGGCUUACCAUGGCAAUGAUGUCUAGGGGUUCUGAGAGGAAGGUCCCCCACACUGGAACUGAGACACGGUCCAGACUCCUACAGGAGGCAGCAGUGAGGAAUAUUGGACAAUGGAUGGAAAUCUGAUCCAGCCAUGCCGCGUGAAGGAAGAAUGUCCUAUGGAUUGUAAACUUCUUUUGUAUGGGAGCAAUAAGGUAUUCGUGAAUACUGAUGAGAGUACCAUACGAAUAAGCAUCGGCUAACUCCGUGCCAGCAGCCGCGGUAAUACGGAGGAUGCGAGCGUUAUCCGGAUUUAUUGGGUUUAAAGGGUGCGUAGGCUGUUAUAUAAGUCAGUGGUGAAAUAUUCGGGCUCAACCGGGAUACUGCCAUUGAUACUGUAUAGCUGGAAUAUGGUUGCUGGGGUGAUGUGUGGUG
This 649-nucleotide ribosomal RNA is filed under the name bacterium enrichment culture clone B1-28. Its description in RNAcentral is "bacterial SSU rRNA". It matches the Rfam family "Bacterial small subunit ribosomal RNA", at positions 28 to 675 of the family's 1533-position model. The record is from RNAcentral.